AUGUGGAGAACUGUUGGGUGUGUCCUGGGCACGGAUCGAUGCCCAAAAAAUAUGUGGCAAUAUUUUGCCUGGUGCUAUAUGUUCAUCCCUGAUGGAGAAAAAUUCUAUACUUUUGGCCUGGCAGCUAUGUGCUGGGUCUUGUGAAACUGCCGUAACAAAUUGACAUUUGAAUACAAACAGAUGAGGUCUCCUUUUGAGGUUGUGUACUCAGCUUGCGGAUAUUUAAAUUACUGGGCAGGACUGAUGAAUGGAGCUGAUCGCGAGGCCAUGGAGCGUGGAGCCAAAAUGCUGAAGACCAGCGCGUCGACCCUGAUGCGUAUUUGUGCGGCGCCGGGGAAUGCAGAACAAGAUCGAUCCAGACAUGGAGGUCUUUUGCUACGUUCAGUCGUCCAUGUGCAUCGCUAG
This 405-nucleotide ribosomal RNA is filed under the name Triticum aestivum (bread wheat). Its description in RNAcentral is "partial small subunit ribosomal RNA". Lineage: Eukaryota; Viridiplantae; Streptophyta; Magnoliopsida; Poales; Poaceae. The record is from RNAcentral.